This 349-nucleotide RNase P RNA is filed under the name Suricata suricatta (meerkat). Its description in RNAcentral is "Nuclear RNase P (ENSSSUG00005010712.1)". It matches the Rfam family "Nuclear RNase P". From Rfam's summary of the family: Ribonuclease P (RNase P) is a ubiquitous endoribonuclease, found in archaea, bacteria and eukarya as well as chloroplasts and mitochondria. Its best characterised activity is the generation of mature 5'-ends of tRNAs by cleaving the 5'-leader elements of precursor-tRNAs. The record is from RNAcentral. Lineage: Eukaryota; Metazoa; Chordata; Mammalia; Carnivora; Herpestidae.
GUAGAGGGAAGCUCAUUGGUAGAGCCAUGAGCUGAGUGCCUUAUAUCACUCUACCCCAUGUUUACUGGGAAGAUCUGAGACUAGGGCCCAAAGCAGCCCUAAUAGGGUUCUCCUUGAGUUAAAAAAAUAUAAAUAAAUAAAUAAAAGGUGGACUUGGGGAAUUUCAGUCUGACUUGUUACUCUCCAAGGUGAGAUCCUUGAUUAUCAUAGCAAGGUGUACUCUUGAUUAUCAUAGCAAGAAGUUGGGCAGACAACCCAAUAGGUGCCUUCUGUACAAUAAGGUGUAAUGUACUGGGUAGUAAAUGAUGUAGGUGGGGGCAAGAGUUUGAUUCAUAUUCAGUCUGCUUUU